Molecule: unclassified non-coding RNA, 289 nt
Filed under: uncultured fungus
Lineage: Eukaryota; Fungi
Description: partial contains small subunit ribosomal RNA, internal transcribed spacer 1, and 5.8S ribosomal RNA
Rfam family: Eukaryotic small subunit ribosomal RNA (bases 1-73)
Source: RNAcentral
GCAAACUUGGUCAUUUAGAGGAAGUAAAAGUCGUAACAAGGUUUCCGUAGGUGAACCUGCGGAAGGAUCAUUAAUGAGUAACCAAUGGGUUGUGCUGGCCCCCCCCUGGGCAUGUGCACACUCUACUCAUCCACUACACACCUGUGCACUUUGGGAGGACUGCUCUCUUCACAGAGGCAGGCCUUCUUUAUAUACACACACUUGUCGGUACAUGGCAUGUCUAUGAUGAUAUAUAAAUAAAACUUUCAACAACGGAUCUCUUGGCUCUCGCAUCGAUGAAGAACGCAGC